This 481-nucleotide ribosomal RNA is filed under the name uncultured bacterium. RNAcentral's name for it is "partial 16S ribosomal RNA". It matches the Rfam family "Bacterial small subunit ribosomal RNA", at positions 28 to 507 of the family's 1533-position model. The record is from RNAcentral.
GACGAACGCUGGCGGCGUGCUUAAUACAUGCAAGUCAACCGAAGCAGCGGUAGCAAUAUCGCUGAGGAGGUGGCGCACGGGGGAGGAACACGUAGGGAAUCUGCCUUCAGGUCUGGCAUAACGCCGGGAAACCGGGGCUAAUAGCAGAUGAUGCAGCGGCUCGACAUCGAGACAGUUGUUAAAGCUAUGGCGCCUGAAGAUGCGGCUGCGUCUGAUUAGCUAGUUGGCGGGGUAGCGGCCCACCAAGGCAACGAUCAGUAGAUGGUCGGGGAGGAUGAUCGGCAACACUGGCACUGAGACUGGGUCCAGACUACUACGGAGGGCAGCAGUAAGGACAGUUGCUCAAUGGGUGACAUCAUGAAGCCGCGCCGCAGCGUGAGGGGCGGCGGGCUUUUGCUUGUACUCCUCUGUAGUGAGAGAAAAAAAUCCCAAUCUUUGGGACAUGAUGGUAUCUCAAGAGUAAGCCCCGGCUAACUACGUG